Olea europaea var. sylvestris is the source of this 1436-nucleotide long non-coding RNA. RefSeq lists it as uncharacterized. The transcript is spliced from 7 exons. Lineage: Eukaryota; Viridiplantae; Streptophyta; Magnoliopsida; Lamiales; Oleaceae. The record is from RefSeq and is a predicted model, not a curated record.
UUUUCUUUUGCAGAGUUUUGAAGUUUUCAUCAUAGAUCAAUUGAAAGAACUAUUGAAAAAAGAAUUUUUGUUGAAAAUACUUGGGAAAAUGGAGGAAAGUAGAAUAGCAAAUAGCAUAGCUUGAGCCAUACUCGCUGCCCUUGACUGAAAGUCCUCUCUGGAGGCUCACAAUGUUGCCUAUUGGUUAUUCCUACUUAGAAUCUCUUCCAUAUCUUUUGCUUGAGAUUUCAAUGCUGCAAAGUCAUAAAACCUAGAUGAGCAGAGGCAAACAUCAAAGCUUAUUGUAAAUGAUGUAAGUGAAAUGAGAUCUAGUCUUAAUCGAUUGGGCAUGACAUUAAUUUAAUCAAUGAGAUGGUAUGCAGCUUGGAAUGAAAAAUUGAGCUUCUUGAAAGCAAGCAGGUAAAGAUUUGAUCUUUUGCAAGCAUACACAAUCUCUUCCUCACUUGAUGUAUUGGAAGUUUCUGCAUCUGUUGAUAAAUGAUCUGCAGGUUAAGACUAACUCGGGUUUGUAUUAUCUCUGCCAAGUAAAAUACUAAAGAUGGAUUGACUUAGGUUAAUUUUAUAUAGAAUAAGGAUUGAAUUUUUACCAACCACAUAGAAUACGAUUUAACUUUCCUACUUUUAAUGGGAUUCACAUGAUUCUCACAUCGAAUAGAAAUCAAAAGAAUCCUCUUUUGUUUCCAAAUAUAUAGAGGCUUACAAUUGUGUUUUAUUCAUUCCAAUUUAGAAAAAUAUUCAUGGACUAUCUUGGUGGCUGGUGUAGUAUGCAUGAUGAAGCAACUAGACAUGAUUGACAAAACAACCCUUUGCCAUCAACUAAUAAAGAGUCAGUUCAAUAAGACUUAUCGUGGCAGAUCAAUCCAUUUGGGAACUCUGCAAUUCAAGAUUACCUACUUGGGGCUGAGUUGGGAUUUCAUUCCAUUCAUUUUGCAUGGAUUGAUUAUCAAUACAAGGUAAAACUUGAUGCAGAUAAAUCACUUAAAUUUAUAUGGCAGGCUUCCAUGACAUUUGGCUCCUCUUCUCAGAUACUUACCGAAUCAUUUCAUGUUCAUUAUAGUUCACCAUUGGUUUCCAUUUUGAAGUAGAUGAUGACUCCAUCCUGUUCAAGGUUCUAUCUUCAACCAAACAUUAGUUAGUCCCAACGAUCUUUAUGGUUGUUGUUGUCGAUUUUAUCCCGCAAGUAUACGGAUCGUAACAAGUAGUAAAGUGGACUUAAGAGUCCUAGUUGUUGAUUUCAUAAGGACUAUACUUUGACACUUAAUUCAAUUUUCCUUAACCAUUAUUUGAUGAAAAUAAACAAAAAUGAUGAUUGAUUGUGAUUUUUAUCUAACUACUCAAAAUGAGAAUGGAUGCAACGAAAAAUGAUUUGGAAUUCAAACAAUAAAUGAAUGUUAGGGCUAAACAACUUCACCUAUUGGUCACAUUUACUUCUAAUA